AAGACACAGUCAGCUGUUGGGGAUCAGAGGCGACACUCAUUGUAGCAGAGAGGCAGGACCAACUGGGAGAGGGUCCUUCUGUGACAACUAUUGCAUCACCGGGCUGUGUGAAGUGACUCAGCUGCCAGAACUCACACAAUAUCAUUCUACACCAAACCUCACGGGAAAAAUGCUCCACGACCCUCAGACUUAAACAGCAGCACUGGCUCCUCCCCAGAUCUCCAGCUCCCUGACCCUCAAACUCCAACUCCAACACCAGCUCUGCCCCAGGUCUCCAGCUCCACAAUCCUCAAACUACAACAGCAGCACCAGCUCCCCUGGGGAUCUCCAGCUCAAUGACUCUCAGACUUGGGAGGCAGCUCCAGCUCCCACCAAGCCUCCAGCUCCACAACCUUCAAACUAGAACAGCAGCACCAGCUACUCCCUGGGUCUCCAGCUCCCUCAAAAUUCAACUAUAGCACUGGCUGUUCCCCAGCGCCACCAGCUCCACAACCCUCAACUUACACGGUGGUAGCACCAGCUCCUCCCUAGGUCUCCAGCUACACGACCGUCAAACUUGAACUGCAACACCAGCUCCUCUUCGGCCUCCAGCUCCACAAUCCUCCAACAACAACAGCAACACCGGCUCCUCCCUGAAUCUCCAGCUCAACAACCCUCAGACUUGAGAGGCAGCACCGGCACCUCCCCAAGGCUCCAGCUCCAUGACCCUCAGAUUUGAACAGCGGUAGCACCAGCUCCUGUCCAGGUCUGCAGCUUCCAGUCCCUCAAAUAACAACAUUGCUCCUCCCUGGAUCUGCAGCUCCACGACCCUCAGACUAGAACACGAUCUGUCCUCCCUGGGUCACCAGCUUCCGAACCUUCGAACUAAAACAACAUUGCUCCUCCCUGGGUCUGCAGCUCCACGACCCUCAAACUAGAAAAAGACCUCUCCUCACUGUGUCGCCAGCUUCUGGACCCUCGAACUACAAAAACAUUGCUCCUGCCUGGGUCUGCAGCUCCACGACCCUCAAUCCAGAUCAAGAUCUCUCCUCCCUGUGUCAUCAGCUUCCUGACCCUCGAACUAUGACAGCAUUGCUCCUCCCUGGGCGCACCCUCAAACUAGAACAAGACCUCUCCACCCUGCGUCGCCAGUUUCCGGAGCCUCAAACUAAAACAACCUUGCUCCUCCCUGGGUCUGCAGCUCCACAACCCUCAAACUAGAACCAGACCUCUCCUCCCUGUGUUGCCAGCUUCCUGACCCUUGAACUAUGGAAACAUGGCUCCUCCCUAGGUCUGCAGCUCCACGACCCUCAAACUAAAACAAGAUCUCUCCUCCCUGGGUCUGCAGCUCCACGACCCUCAAACUAAAACAAGAUCUCUCCUCCCUGUGUCAUCAGCUUCCAGUCCCUCAAAUAACAACAUUGCUCCUCCCUGGGUCUGCAGCUCCACGACCCUCAAACUAAAACAAGACCUCUCCUCUCUAGGUCUGCAGCUUCCAGUCCCUCAAAUAACAACAUUGCUCCUCCCUGGAUCUGCAGCUCCAUGACUCUCAGACUACAACAAGAUCUCUCCUCCCUGGGUCACCAGCUUCCGGACCCUCGAACUACGAAAACAUUGCUCCUCCCUGGGUCUCCAGCUCCAUGACCCUCAAACUAAAACAAGAUCUCUCCUCCCUGUGUCAUCAGCUUCCAGUCCCUCAAAUAACAACAUUGCUCCUCCCUGGGUCUGCAGCUCCACGACCCUUAAACUAGAACAAGACCUCUCCUCACUGUGUCGCCAGCUUCCGGACCCUUGAACUAUGAAAACAUUGCUCCUCCCUGGGUCCGCAGCUCCACGACCCUCAAACUAAAACAAGAUCUCUCCUCCCUAGGUCUGCAGCUUCCAGUCCCUCAAAUAACAACAUUGCUCCUCCCUGGAUCUGCAGCUCCACGACCCUCAGACUAGAACAAGACCUCUCCUCCCUGAGUCACCAGCUUCCGAACCUUCGAACUAAAACAACAUUGCUCCUCCCUGGGUCCGCAGCUCCAUGACCCUCAAACUAGAACAAGACCUCUCCUCCCUAGGUCUGCAGCUUCCAGUCCCCAAAUAACAACAUUGCUCCUCCCUGGAUCUGCAGCUCCACGACCCUCAGACUAGAACAAGAUCUCUCCUCCCUGGGUCACCAGCUUCCGGACCCUGGAACUACAAAAACAUUGCUCCUCCCUGGGUCUGCAGCUCCACAACCCUCAAACUAAAACAAGAUCUCUCCUCCCUGUGUUGCCAGCUUCCGGACCCUCGAACUAUGACAACAUUGCUCCUCCCUGGGUCUGCAGCUCCACGACCCUCAAAGCAGAUCAAGAUCUCUCCUUCCUGUGUCAUCAGCUUCCUGACCCUUGAACUAUGACAACAUUGCUCCUCCCUGGGUCUGCAGCUCCAUGACUCUCAAACUAGAACAGCAGCACCAGCUCCUUCCUGGACCUCCAGGUCAAUGACUCUCAGACUUCAAAGGCAGCAGCAGCUCCACCCCCAGGCUCCAGCUCUAAAACCCUCAGAUGUGAGCAGUGGCAGCACCAGCUCCUUUCUGCGUCUCCGGCUUCAUGAUCCUUAAAUUAGAACAGCAGCGCCAUCUUCUCCCUGCGUCUCCAGCUCCAGGAACCUCAAACUGCAACAGGAGCACCUGUUCCUCUGGGAUUUUCACCUCCACGACCCUGAGGUGUCAGUGGCAGCACUGGCUCCUCCCCUGGGCUGCAGCUCCAGAACCCUCAAGAAUAAUCCCUUCUCAUGAAAUGUAGCAGUCAGGAAAACUGCAGAGGAAGUAAAUAAAUAAAUGUUUUCUUUCAAA
RNAcentral lists this long non-coding RNA (2800 nucleotides) under Homo sapiens (human). RNAcentral describes it as "HSALNT0401424". Lineage: Eukaryota; Metazoa; Chordata; Mammalia; Primates; Hominidae. The record is from RNAcentral.